Long non-coding RNA from Dreissena polymorpha, 6190 nucleotides. RefSeq lists it as uncharacterized. The transcript is spliced from 2 exons. NCBI's taxonomy places the organism in Eukaryota, Metazoa, Mollusca, Bivalvia, Myida, Dreissenidae. The record is from RefSeq and is a predicted model, not a curated record.
GGCCCUUGCUACACUUUGGGGGAUUGGGGCCGGGGCCCUUAGAGGGGGGAAUUUCACGUCGUUUUCGGCGAAAAGGGGAAUUUUACAAGAUCUUUUCACCAAUCAUUCAACACUUAAUAUUGCUCUAUUUUAAUGUAAUUUACAUAAAUAUACUUUUAAUCAAAGGUUUAAAGCAAGAUACCAGCUGGCAACAUAGGUAUAAAAGUAUAAAAAAAAAUGAAAUUAUUCUCGGUUUGAUAAAUACGGUAUAGUAUGGUUUAUUACGUGUUAUUUAGAAGAGAGAUUAUGGUAAUGGUUUAGCGCGAAUAAGGCACGGGUUUUGUGUGCAUGUUUUAGCGCGAAAGCGCACGAGUUUUUCGUUUUGGGGUAUAUAUGAUUUGCACAUCUAUUGAGUCGCCAUUCGAGGGUGUAUUUGACAGGCAAACGUUAUGGAACAAGAAAAUGAAAGGGUGAUAAAGUAGUUUAGGCGUUCAUUUGCGAAAUACAUAGUAUUCGGAAGGAGAUUUUCGAUGAGAGGACUGACUCUCUGCUAGAAGCGGAAUGGUGAGCUGGAACUUCAAACAAAGGUCAGACUUGUUGGUUCUGUUUAUUGUAAUAACACUGGCAACAACAUUCCGAUGGAAAUUAACACAGGUUGUGUUCUUUGUUAACUUUUAUGAUAAGUAUAUUCAAUAACAUGCUCCAUAUCUUUAUUUGUGCUGUUGUUUUUGUUUAGUUCCAACUAUUCAGAUACAUCAAUUGAUUUGAUUAUUGGGUAAAAAUGAAACUAUUUAAGUUCAAAAAGAGGUUGCAAAUGUAAUGGUCUGGUAGGAUUAUAUAUAGGUAAGGCCACAUAGUGUGUCACUCCAGGUUGUUUUGAUAGCAGAGUUAGAUCACUCUCCCUCACGUUUUUACGAACAACUUGCUUUAUUUUUAUUGUUUUUAAGAUAUAACUCCUUAUAUGGUAAUACAUGUGUUACAAGUUUGUGUAUUAGUUCCAAACGCAUAAUUCAACAAACGAUUAAUAUCGAUUAACUGCCGUUUUCCUUAUAAUUCAGCACGAUGGUUGUGUGCGAUAUAUGACGUGGUAUGAUAAUGAGCGGAUGAAAAUUUAUGCGAACAUAUCUUUAAACUAUUCAGGUAUUCCAAUUGUGAAUUACGAAUGUAACAUCAAAAAUCGAUACAUUACGGAAAUAUUUAUUCUAUUCAUCUAUGAAACAGCUAUAGAGACUUGUCUUGUAAACUUUUUUCGAAACAUGUUUGUGUUUUGCAUAUAUUACAUCUCGUUCGCUGGAUAUUGAAUAAACAGUUUAUAAGUUUUUGAUGUAUACAAUUAAAUUUUUUCUCUAAAUUGAAUUAAAACAUUAAGAGUUAUUAUAUUUUUCAUAAUAAUUUAAGACGUUAAGUUAAGUUUUCCCUGCAAGGUUGGUGUCAAUAAUGGUGCAUGCAUAUGUGCUAAUUAAUUAACGAUAUUUUGGAUAAACUGUGGUAUAAAUUUGGUUUGAAAAGAGCGUUGACAAUAAGACUGUUGUUUUAAACUUAGAUGAAAGGCAUUUAUCGGUUUUGUUAAAUUUAGUUUCGUCAUAGUUAAAUGCAUUUUUAAAGAUUAGGUACUGUAAUGAUAACAAAAGUAGACCGUAUUUAUUUGCAAUAUAAGUCAUUUUGUUUUCGUGAUAGUUUUUGUUCUUGUUUGGUGGCCUGUUGGCUUGGUGUGUAAAGACAUUUUGCUUUUAUGGUGUUUGGCCGUUUUUUGAAUGCCAGUUAACAUGUGUAAUUUGCUUAUCGUUUUGGUAAAAGCCAGCUGACCAGAUGUGGAUAAACCCAGUUAGCGCGUGUAGUUUGUUAACCAAACUUGUUAAAACGUGCGUUUACAUUUACAUUUUUGUUUUUAUUUAAUGUUAAGAUUGUACUGUUCGAAGGAUAUUAUAUAUAUUGGAGAACAUUAAAUGUAUGUUAUUAAGGGCCAGAUUGGCUUAUGUAAAUUAACCGGUUGGCUCGGGUUGUCUGUUGACAGUUUGUUGAAAGCAGAUUUUUUCAGAUGCGUAUAAGCCAGUUUUCUUGCGUGUAAGUUCACUAAAAUGUCUCAAAACACAUGUUGAAAUUGCAUUUACACAUGUUUGCGAAGUUUAUUUUUUCAGAAGCUGGACAGUUCGAAGAAUAAAUAAUGAAUAGUGUAACAUUAUAGUAAGAGGGCAGCUCGAAAGGUAUAAUUUGUUUUGUUUUUUGUGUAAUUAUGUGUUAGAAAAUAACUUGUUUAGAUUAAUAAUGAUGAUUUUAUUGAUGAUGAUGUUAUAAAUGUUGAUGAUGAUGCUAACGUUAUUGAUGAGGAGGAGGAAUGGUUGACAGUAUUUUGUGAAUGGAUAAUACUACAUUAACGAAUUUUGAGUGAAUGAAAUUAUUUUAGGUUUGAUAAAUACCGAAUGAUGUUGGUCUAUACAUAUUAUUUAGAAGAAAAAGAGAGUAUGGUUAUGGUUUAGCACGUAAAAAUGAAUGAGUUUCUGGGUUUUGCGUUUAAUUGAACAAAAACAAGUAACGGCUCAGCAACAGGGAUUAUUCUCAGAUGGAACAUGUAUUCCUUUUAGAGUCACAGAAAUUCAACUUUGCAUCAAUACCGGUUUUCUUUGAGAUUUGUUUGAUGGGUUAAAAUUCCAAAAAUUGACGGAGUUUUGCAGCCGACCAAGUACCUAUAGCUUUGUAUUUGAGUGUGUUAAGCAUUUUGUUGUUUUCAAAUUAGUAAAUCAAAAUUAAUACGGUGUUCUAGUAUAUCAAUUGAGCUUAUGCUAUUGCCAUGGAAAUUUGAGCCAGGGUUCGAUCAGUAGCUUAAAGUAUGUCUGUGUUGGUGAAUUGAACCUAAAAACAAAUGUCAAGUCGGUAGUUUUAAUUUUAAGAGCAGAACAUACGUAUUGAUUGUGAGAACAUUAGUAAAAUGUGUUUGGUAUUUGUGCAUGUCUCUUGUGGUCAUUGGACCAAAUCGUUUUAAGGCCAAUUGGCCUGAUUUUGAAAGCCAGUUGGCUUGUAUUGUCAGUUGACCGUUUUUAAAGCCAGUCUAUAUGAUGUGUGAAAGCCUGUUGGCUUGUGUUGUCAGGUUACCGAACUUUCUUAGAACGAAAGUCUCAUAGAAUUAACAAUAUUUGCAAGUUUAUUGUUUGCAAUGCAGUAACUAGACAGUUCGAAUAUUAUAUUAAGUAUUGAAGAACAUAAAGGUAUGGUUUAUGUAGUAUGUUAUUAUUAUUACUAGGAUUAUUAUGAUGUAUUUUAUUUGGGUGCAUUCGGAGAAUUGCAAAGCCGGUAGUUAAAAAAGAGCCUAUUACAUCAGAUAUAUUAAAGAAAUUUUAUCACACUUUUGUUUCUGAGAGCGAUUGUUCUUUGGGGUAUCUUAUGCUGGUUUUUUAGGAUAAGUGAAUUUUUGUCUGUUAAAAGAUCAGAUGUUGUAUUUUUAGAUACGCAUUGUGAUAUUAAAGUUGAAAAGUCAAAAACGGACAUUUUAAGAGAAGGUAAUACUAUUCUGAUUGCAAAAACUAAUACAGACACAUGUCCUGUGAAAUUGUUUGAAAAGUAUUUGUGUGUUGCAGAUAUUGCAUGUUCAUCUACUGAUUAUGUGUUUAGACCCGUUAUUUGUGUAAUGUUAAACACUGUUUCAAAUUGAUUUCUAAUAAUAAGCAUAUAAGUUAUUCUAUUAUAAAUGAUAGUUUUAAGAAGAAGUUAAGUCUAUUGGGUUAUGUUUCUUCUAAAUAUGGACUUCAUUCUUUUCGUGCUGGUGGAGCAUAUAUAAGUGCCAAUAAUAAGACUGUGGAUAGACUUUGGCAAAGACAUGGUAGAUGAAAAAGUGUUUCCACUAAGGACGGAUAUGUUAAAGAUUAUUUGAAAGACAGAUUAUCGGUGUCGCUAAAUUUAGAUUUGUGAAAAGUCAUUAUUAAUGUAUGUGUGACUUGAAAUGUAUGAUGUGUUGUUCGUAGCACAUUUAAAGACACUAUUAUAUAUUAUUAUUAUAUAAAUGGUUUGGAAAUGCUUUUGAGUAUUAUUAAGUUCUGUGUUUGUGUUGUGUGUAUGUUCCUUGUGGUCAUUGGACCAAUUUGUUUACGGCCAUUUGGCCUCUUUUGGUAAGCCAGUUGGCUUGUAUGGUCAGUUGACCGUUUUUAAAAGCAAGUUGAUCUGAUGUGUGAAAGCCGGUUGGCUUUUGUGAGUUGACCUUAUUAUCUUAAAAAGCAUGUUCACAUGGAAUUAACAAUCUUUGCAAGUUUAUUUUUUGCAGUGCAGUAACUGGACAGUACGAAUGGUAUAUUAAGUAUUGGAGAACAUAAAGUUAAAACACAGUUCGAGAGGUAUAUAACGUGGUGGAGAAUAUUUGGGUAUUCAUUUUAUGUUUCAUAUUAUUUGUAUUCUCUCUUUGUUUUAUUCGAAAGUCCUGUCAAAUACAAGCACUCACUCCUAUUUUGUCUUUGGUUUAUUAUUUGUAUGAUAAUGACAAUGAUGAUGAUAUGGGUUAUAAAGAUGAUGAGAUUUUAAUAGUAUUUUGAGAAUAGAGAAUAAUAAAUUUACUCAUAACUAUGAGUAAAUGAAAUUAUUCUCGGUUUGAUAAAUACGGUAUAGUAUGGUUUAUUACGUGUUAUUUAGAAGAGAGAUUAUGGUAAUGGUUUAGCGCGAAUAAUGCACGGGUUUUGUGUGCAUGUUUUAGCGCGAAGGCGCACGAGUUUUUCGUUUUGGGGUAUAUAUGAUUUGCACAUCUAUUGAGUCGCCAUUCGAGGGUGUAUUUGACAGGCAAACGUUAUGGAACAAGAAAAUGAAAGGGUGAUAACCCCGCCCGCCCGCCCUUAAUGAGCAAAUGUUUGGUUAAAUAAUUGAUUACAUUGCUUUUAUGUUUAUAAUUUUGCAAUUAUAAAGUCUAUAUUUAGUAUAUUUUCAGUUCAGUUUUUAGUCCAUGUGAGAUGGGAUCUUAGCACAAACCGAUUCCUUUACUGGGAAAGACGAUGGGUGUAUUUUCAUUUAAGUCUGAAGCAGCUGAGUUUUCUUGAUUAUUUUGACUCAUUUUUUAGUUAAUAUUGUGUUUGAAUGAGGUUUUUUAAGUUAUGGGUGUCAUGUUUUUCGAGACUCUCACUUCCUGGAGAUAGUACCUCCAGCAUAUUUAUUGAAAUAUUAGAAUGUUUAAAUUUCAGUGUUAUUUUUUAUUGUCUUUCGUAAUGAACGUUUAAUUUUAAAGACAUUCUUAUUGUACGAUUACUUCAUAUUUUCAUUUUGGUGUGACUGGUUAGAUACUGAAGUCGGUUUAAUAUAGCUGUUCGUCAUAUGCAUUUAUAUAUAUCUCGGAAUACUUAUGAUUUAUCAAAAUUCUUUUUAGGUGCAUUAUGGAUUUUAUGGUUUGAGUGAUUUGUUUGUUUUUAUGUUGAUGUCCGGGGUGUGUGCGGGAUGCUUUUGAUGUUUGUUUGUUAUGUUAAUUUGCGCAAUGAAAUUGAUAAUGUUUUAAUUACAUUUUAUACUAAAUAAUACUUAAUGUUUACAGUAUAAUAAUAGCUGCUUAUUUGUAGCUUUCUCUAAAAUUAGAGGUUUCGGGAGGUGAUGAAGGCACCUAGACACCGGUCUUGAGCCAUGGGUCCUCAUACGUCCCCCUGCCAUUAAAAGAAAAAAUAAGAAAACAAAAAUGGCAGUAGGGUUGCGUAUCCCGCUCGCGGUUUUACCUGAAUCGUUUAUUACUACUGAUUAUUGUAUGGGGUGUACGUGAAGUCAUGUACACUUCUCUUGAUUGGUGGUGAUGGAUGAAUCUUGCAGAUAUUAGCAGCUUCUUUGAACAAAUUAUUGUUUCACAAUUGUUAAUUGAUAAUAUUUAAGCAAGUUAGCGUGAUUGAUGGGCAUUGGGGGCGUCCUGUGUGCACUUUGGGCAUCGGCCGGGAUCAGUUUAUUCAAACAGUAACUCUUUAUUUGAGAUAUAUACAUGACGUCUUAUUGUUAUGAAUAAAUUUGCAUUUUUUCACAUGACACACAUGUGCAUGUGAAGAAUUCAUAAUUACAUGCCCUACAGCAUUUAAAUAGUAUCGUUUCAGUUCUUUAUACACCUGAACAAAGAUGUUACACCGUUUCCAGUCGUCUCGAGGCUCAUCAAUUGAGCGGUGCCGUUGAGGUCUAUAUCCAUUGCACAUACAACACAUACGGGCGUCAGAAGAAUUGUUUUUUGCAUUUAUAUGUUGAAAGUCCUGUCAAAUACAAGCACUCACUCCUA